GGAAUUUUCCGCAAUGGGCGAAAGCCUGACGGAGCAACGCCGCGUGAGGGAUGAAGGCCUCUGGGCUGUAAACCUCUUUUAUCAAGGAAGAAGAUCUGACGGUACUUGAUGAAUAAGCCACGGCUAAUUCCGUGCCAGCAGCCGCGGUAAUACGGGAGUGGCAAGCGUUAUCCGGAAUUAUUGGGCGUAAAGCGUCCGCAGGCGGUCUUUUAAGUCUGUCGUCAAAGCGUGGAGCUUAACUCCAUUUCUGCGAUGGAAACUGGGAGACUAGAGUGUGGUAGGGGCAGGGGGAAUUCCCGGUGUAGCGGUGAAAUGCGUAGAUAUCGGGAAGAACACCAGUGGCGAAGGCGCUCUGCUGGGCCAUAACUGACGCUCAUGGACGAAAGCCAGGGGAGCGAAAGGGAUUAGAUACCCCUGUAGUCCUGGCCGUAAACGAUGAACACUAGGUGUCGGGGGAAUCGACCCCCUCGGUGUCGUAGCCAACGCGUUAAGUGUUCCGCCUGGGGAGUACGCACGCAAGUGUGAAACUCAAAGGAAUUGACGG
This 544-nucleotide ribosomal RNA is filed under the name uncultured bacterium. Its description in RNAcentral is "bacterial SSU rRNA". It matches the Rfam family "Bacterial small subunit ribosomal RNA", at positions 358 to 916 of the family's 1533-position model. The record is from RNAcentral.